AUAGAAAACCUGGAUUAAGCUACUUGAACAUUGAGCAUCAAGAUCUAUGAGGAUAGAUCAAAAACGCUUAAUGGUACUUUCAAAUGAGCAUAUACCUUAACAUGAUCUUGAAGGUGUUCAAGAUGGAUCAGUCAAAGAAGGAGUUCUUGCCUGAGAUGUAAGGUAUGAAGUUAAGACUUAAAGCUCGACCACGGCAGAAAAGAGAGAAAGGACGAAGGUCGUCCCCUUUGCUUUAGACGUAGGCUCUACAGUAUGCUAUGCUGUGUACCGCACCUGAUGUGUGCCUUGCUACAUAUCUGGCAAGAGGGUACAAAGGUGAUCAAGGAGUGGAUCACUGGAUAGCGGUCAAAAUUAUCCUUAGAGGAAUAAGGAUAUGUUUCUCGAUUAUGGAGGUGAUAAAGAGUUCGGCGUAAAGGGUUACGUUGAUGCAAGCUUUAACACCUAUCCGAGUGACUCUGAGUAGCAAACCGGAUACGUAUAGUGGAGCGACCAUUUGGAAUAGCUCCAAGUGGAGCGUGGAAGCAGCAUUUACAGAAUGCCCUAGAGACUUGCGAAGUACAGACCCGUUGACUAAAACCUCUCUCACAAGCAAAACAUGAUCAAACCCCAGAACUCAUUUAGUCUUAAUCACAUGAUGAUGUGAACUAGUUUAAUGACACUAGUAAACUCUUUGGAUGUUGGUCACAUGGCGAUGUGACGUGUGAAUGUUAAUCACAUGACGAUGUGAACUAGAUUAUUGACUCUAGUGCAAGUGGGAGACUGUUGGAAAUAUGCCCUAGAGACAAUAAUAAAUUAGUUAUUAUUAUAUUUCCUUGUUCAUGAUAAUCGUUUAUUAUCCAUGCUAUAAUUGUAUUGAUAGGAAACUCAGAUACAUGUGUGGGUACAUAGACAACACCAUGUCCCUAGUGAGCCUCUAGUUGACUAGCUCGUUGAUCAACAGAUGGUUACGGUUUCCUGACCAUGGACAUUAGAUGUCAUUGAUAACGGGAUCACAUCAUUAGCAGAAUGAUGUGAUGGACAAGACCCAAUCCUAAGCCUAGCACAAAGAUCGUAGUUCGUAUGCUAAAGCUUUUCUAAUGUCAAGUAUCAUUUCCUUAGACCAUGAGAUUGUGCAACUCCCGGAUACCGUAGGAAUGCUUUGGGUGUACCAAACGUCCCAACGUAACUGGGUGGCUAUAAAGGUGCACUACAGGUAUCUCAGAAAGUAUCUGUUGGGUUGGCACGAAUCGAGACUGGGAUUUGUCACUCCGUGUAAACGGAGAGGCAUCUCUGGGCCCACUCGGUAGGACAUCAUCAUAAUGUGCACAAUGUGACCAAGGGGUUGAUCACGGGAUGAUGUGUUACAGAACGAGUAAAGAGACUUGCCGGUAACGAGAUUGAACAAGGUAUCGGUAUACUGACGAUCGAAUCUCGGGCAAGUACAAUACCGUUAGACAAAGGGAAUUGUAUACGGGAUCGAUUGAGUCCUUGACAUCGUGGUUCAUCCGAUGAGAUCAUCGUGGAACAUGUGGGAGCCAACAUGGGUAUCCAGAUCCCGCUGUUGGUUAUUGACCGGAGAACGUCUCGGUCAUGUCUACAUGUCUCCCGAACCCGUAGGGUCUACACACUUAAGGUUCGAUGAAGCUAGGGUUAUAAAGGAAGUUUGUAUGUGGUUACCGAAUGUUGUUCGGAGUCCCGGAUGAGAUCUCGGACGUCAAGAGGAGUUCCGGAAUGGUCCGGAGGUAAAGAUUUAUAUAUGGAAAGUUGUUGUUCGGGUUCCGGGAAAAGUUCGGGUUUUUCCAGUAUUGUACCGGGAAGCUUCCAGAAGGUUCCAGAGGAUUCUGAAGGGGUCCGGAGGUCCGGAAAUUGUUCCACCACGUCCAAUACAGUAGCAUGGGCUGUAAGGGGGCGCCCUAGCCUUAAUGGGCCAGGGGCACCAGCCCCCCAAAGGCCCAUGCGCAUGGGAAGGGGGAAACCCUAAGGGGGAGGGCCUCCACUUGACUUGGGAGGCACUCCUCCCCCCUUGGCCGCCGCCCCAACCCUAGAUGGGAUCUAGGGGGGGGCUCUUCCCCCCACCUAUAAAUAAUGGAGGGGUGGGAGGGCAGCUGCACCCCAAGUUCUAGCGCAGCCCACCCCCUCUCCCAUGUACUCCUCCUCUCUCGCGGUGCUUGGCGAAGCCCUGCAGGAUUGCCACACUCCUCCACCACCACCACGCCGUUGUUCUGCUGUUGGAUGGAGUCUUCCUCAACCUCUCCCUCUCUCCUUGCUGGAUCAAGGCAUGAGAGACAUCACUGAGCUGUACGUGUGUUGAACGCGGAGGUGCCGUCCGUUCGGCACUAGGAUCUUCAAUGAUUUGGAUCACGACGAGUACGACUCCUUCAACCCCGUUCUCUCGAACGCUUACGCUUAGCAAUCUACAAGGGUAUGUAGAUGCACUCUCCUUCCCCUCGUUGCUGGUUUCUCCAUAGAUAGAUCUUGGUGACACGUAGGAAAAUUUUGAAUUUCUGCUACGUUCCCCAACAGUGGCAUCAUGAGCUAGGUCUAUUGCGUAGAUUCUUUGCACGAGUAGAACACAAAGUAGUUGUGGGCGUUGAUUUUGUUCAAUAUGCUUACCGUUUCUAGUCCAAUCUUGAUUCGGCGGCAUUGUGGGAUGAAGCGGCCCGGACCGACCUUACACGUACACUUACGUGAGACAGGUUCCACCGACUAACAUGCACUUGUUGCAUAAGGUUGCUAGCGGGUGCCAGUCUCUCCCACUUUAGUCGGAUCGGAUUCGAUGAAAAGGGUCCUUAUGAAGGGUAAAUAGCAAUUGGCAUAUCAUGUUGUGGCUUUUGCGUAGGUAAGAAACGUUCUUGCUAGAAACCCAUAGCAGCCACGUAAAACAUGCAAACAACAAUUAGAGGACGUCUAACUUGUUUUUGCAGGGUAUGCUAUGUGAUGUGAUAUGGCCAAGAAGAAUGCGAUGAAUGAUAUGUGAUGUAUGAGAUUGAUCAUGUUCUUGUAAUAGGAAUCACGACUUGCAUGUCGAUGAGUAUGACAACCGGCAGGAGCCAUAGGAGUUGUCUUAAUUUAUUGUAUGACCUGCGUGUCAUUAAACAACGCCAUGUAAUUACUUUACUUUAUUGCUAACCGGUAGCCAUAGUAGUAGAAGUAAUAGUUGGCGAGACAACUUCAUGAAGACACGAUGAUGGAGAUCAUGAUGAUGGAGAUCAUGGUGUCAUGCCGGUGACGAUGAUGAUCAUGGAGACCCAAAGAUGGAGAUCAAAAGGAGCAAAAUGAUAUUGGCCAUAUCAUGUCACUAUUUGACUGCAUGUGAUGUUUAUCAUGUUUAUGCAUCUUAUUUGCUUAGAACGACGGUAGUAAAUAAGAUGACCCCUCAUUAAAAUUUCAAGAAAGUGUUCCCCCUAACUGUGCACCGUUGCGAAAGUUCGUCGUUUCGAAGCACCACGUGAUGAUCGGGUGUGAUAGAUUCUUACGUUCACAUACAACGGGUGUAAGCCAGAUUUACACACACGAAACACUUAGGUUGACUUGACGAGCCUAGCAUGUACAGACAUGGCCUCGGAACAUAAGAGACCGAAUGGUCGAGCAUGAGUCGUAUAGUAGAUACGAUCAACAUGAAGAUGUUCACCGAUGAUGACUAGUCCGUCUCACGUGAUGAUCGGACACGGCCUAGUUGACUCAGAUCAUGUAAUCACUUAGAUGACUAGAGGGAUGUCUAUCUGAGUGGGAGUUCAUAAGAUGAACUUAAUUAUCUUGAACAUAUUCAAAAGAUCUUUGCAAAUUAUGUCGUAAGCUCGCGCUUUAGUUCCACUGUUUAGAUAUGUUCCUAGAGAAAAUAUAGUUGAAAGUUGACAGUAGCGAUUAUGCGGACAGUAGAAAGCUUAUGUCCUUAAUGCACCGCUCAGUGUGCUGAACCCCAAACGUCGCUUGUGGAUGUUGCGAACAUCGGACAUACACGUUUUGAUAACUACGUGAUAGUUCAGUAAAACGGUUUAGAGUUGAGGCACCAAAGAUUUUUUCGAAAUGUUGCGGAACAUAUGAGAUGUUUCGAGGGUUGAAAUUGGGAUUUCAGGCUCAUGCCCACGUCAAGAGGUAUGAGACCUCCGACGAUUUUCUUAGCCUGCAAACUAAGGGAGAAAAGGUCAAUCGUUGAGCUUGUGCUCAGAUUGUCUGAGUGCAACAAUCACUUGAAUCGAGUGGGAGUUGAUCUUCCAGAUGAGAUAGUGAUAUUUCUCCAAAGUCAUUGCCACCAAGCUGCUAGAGCUUCGUGAUGAACUAUAACAAAUCAGGGAUAGAUAUGAUGAUCCUUGAGAUAUUCACGAUGUUUGACACCACGAAUGUAGGAAUCAAGAAGGAGCAUAAAUUGUUGAUGGUUGGUGAAACCACUAGUUUCAAGAAGGGCAAGGGCAAGAAGGGAUACUUCAUGAAACGGCAAAUCAGCUGCUGCUCUAGUGAAGAAACCCAAGGUUGAACCCAAACCCGAGACUAAGUGCUUCUGUAAUAAGGGGAACAACCACUGGAGCAGAAUUACCCUAGAUACUUGGUAGAUGAGAAGGCUGGCAAGGUCGAUAGAAGUAUAUUGGAUAUACAUUAUGUUAAUGUGUACUUUACUAGUACUCCUAGUAGCACCAGGGUAUUAGAUACCGGUUCGGUUGCUAAGUGUCAGUAACUUGAAAUUAAAGGCUACGGAAUAAACGGAGACUAGCUAAAUGUGAGUUGACGAUAUGUGUUGGAAGUGUUUCCAAGUUUGAUAUGAUCAAACAUCGCACGCUCCCUCUACCAUCAAGAUUAGUAUUAAACCUGAAUAAUUGUCAUUUGGUGUUUGCGUUGAGCAUAGACAUGAUUGGAUUAUGUCUAUCGCAAUACGGUUAUUCAUUUAAGGGGAAUAAUGGUUACUCUAUUUAUUUGAAUAAUACCUUUAAUGGUCUUGCACCUAAAGGAAUGGUUUAUUGAAUCUCGAUCGUAGUGAUACACAUUUUCAUGCCAAAAGAUAUAAGAUAGUAAUGAUAGCACCACUUACUUGUGGCACUGCCAUAUAAGUCAUAUUGGUAUAAAACGUAUGAAGAAGCUCCAUGUUGAUGGAUCUUUGGACUCACUCGUUUUUGAAAAGUUUGAGACAUGCGAACCAUGUCUAUUGGUGUAUACGCAUGAAGAACCUCCAUGCAGAUGGAUCGUUUGGACUCACUUGAUUUUGAAUCACUUGAGAUAUGCAAGUCUUACCACAUGGGCAAGAUGACUGAAAAGCCUCGUUUUCAGUAAGAUGGAACAAGAUAGCAACUUAUUGGAAGUAACACAUUUUUAUGUGUGCAGUCCAAUGAGUGCUGAGGCAUGCAGUGAAUAUCAUUAUGUUCUUACUUCACAGAUGAUUCGAGUAGAUGUUGAGUAUAUUUACUUGAUGAAACACAAGUCUGAAUUAUUGAAUGGUUCAAGUAAUUUCAGAGUGAAGUUGAAGAUCAUUGUGACAAGAGGAUAAAAUGUCUAUGAUAUGAUCAUAGAGAUGAGUAUCUGAGUUACGAGCUUUGCCACGCAAUUAAGACAUUGUGGAAAUGUUUAAAAAUUAGUACCGCCUGGAACACCAUAGUGUGAUGGUGUGUCCGAACAUCAUAGUUGCACCCUAUUGGAUAUAUAUGGUGCGUACCAUGAUGUCUCUUAUCAAAUUACCACUAUCGUUCAUGGGUUAGGCAUUAGAGACAACCGCACUCACUUCAAUAGGGCACCACGUAAUUCCGUUGAGACGACACCAUUUGAACUAUGGUUUGGAGAAACCUAAGUUGUCGUUUCUUAAAAGUUUGGGGCUGCGACGCUUAUGUGAAAAGUUUCAUCAUGAUAAGCUCGAACCCAAAACGGAUAAAUACAUCUUCAUAGGAUACCCAAAACAGUUGGGUAUACCUCCUAAUUCAGAUCCGAAAGCAAUAGGGAUUGUUUCUUAAAUCGGGUCCUUUCUCGAGGAAAAGUUUGUCUCGAAAAGUUGAGUGGGAGGAUGGUGGAGACUUGAUAUGGUUAUUGAACCGUCACUACAACUAGUGUGUAGCAGGGCACAGGAAGUUGUUCCUGUGGCACCUACACCAAUUGAAGUAGAAGCUUAUGAUAGUGAUCAUGAAACUUUGGAUCAAGUCACUACCGUACCUCGUAGGGUGACAAGGAUGCGUACUGCUUCAGAGUGGUACAAUAAUCCUGUCUUGAAGGUCACGUUGCUAGACAACAAUGAACCUACGAGCUAUGGAGAAGCAAUGGUUGGCCCAAAUUCUGACAAAUGGUUAGAAGCCAUGAAAUCCGAGAUAGAAUCCAUGUAUCAAAACAAAGCCUGGACUUUGGUGGACUUGCCCGAUGAUCGGCAAGCCAUUGAGAUAAAUGGAUCUUUAAGAAGAAGACGGACGUGGACGGUAAUGUCACCGUCUAUGAAGCUCGACUUGUGGUAAAGAGUUUUUCACAAGUUCAAGGAGUUGACUACGAUGAGAUUUUCUCAUCCGUAACGAUGCUUAAGUCCGUCAGAAUCAUGUUAGCAUUAGCUGCAUUUAUGAAAUCUGGCAGAUGGAUGUCAAAAUGAGUUUCCUUACCAGUUUUCGUAAGGAAAGGUUGUAUGUGAUACAAUCAGAAAGGUUUUGUCGAUCCUAAGGAUGCUAAAAGGUAUGCUAGCUCCAGCGAUCCUUCCAUGGACUGGAGUAAGCAUCUCGAGUUGGAAUAUGCACUUUGAUAAGAUGAUCAAAGAUUUUUGUUUAUACAAAGUUUAUGAGAAACUUGUAUUUCCAAAGAAGUGAGUGGGAGCACUAUAGAAUUUCUGAUGAGUAUAUGUUGUUGACAUAUUGUUGAUCAGAAAUGAUGUAGAAUUUCUGGAAAGCAUAUAGGGUUAUUUGAAAGGUGUUUUUUAAUAGAAAACCUGGAUUAAGCUACUUGAACAUUGAGCAUCAAGAUCUAUGAGGAUAGAUCAAAAACGCUUAAUGGUACUUUCAAAUGAGCAUAUACCUUAACAUGAUCUUGAAGGUGUUCAAGAUGGAUCAGUCAAAGAAGGAGUUCUUGCCUGAGAUGUAAGGUAUGAAGUUAAGACUUAAAGCUCGACCACGGCAGAAAAGAGAGAAAGGACGAAGGUCGUCCCCU
This 7077-nucleotide long non-coding RNA is filed under the name Triticum aestivum (bread wheat). RNAcentral describes it as "long non-coding RNA (TAES_LNC011649)". The record is from RNAcentral. Lineage: Eukaryota; Viridiplantae; Streptophyta; Magnoliopsida; Poales; Poaceae.